This 20727-nucleotide long non-coding RNA is filed under the name Solanum tuberosum (potato). RNAcentral describes it as "long non-coding RNA (STUB_LNC007814)". The record is from RNAcentral. Lineage: Eukaryota; Viridiplantae; Streptophyta; Magnoliopsida; Solanales; Solanaceae.
AUUUAUUUAUUUAUUUGCCGUAAAUUCCACAUCAACUUGAGCUUGAGAUUUCUAGGUUCGAUUCAUCAAUCAAUGUUGGUAUUUCAGACACAAAUUAAUGGUGUCCUCAAAUUAUCUCAUAGUUUUUACUCAACUAUAUACAUAGUAUCAAGAUUUCAGUUAUUCUUAUGGAUCAUAAUAUGUUUGGCUAACUACGAUGAAAUAGAAUCAUUUUAAGUAGAAUUCUUUCUUAUGAUAUGUCAAAUAAAACGGGUCAUGUAAUAGCACAUAUGAAAAUUUCACCAUGAAAAAGUCCAAGAAGAUGAAAUGAACUUACUUGGGAAAAGAGCAUUUGAACUCCCCCUUCAAGAAACAAGAGUCUCAUUCCCAAUUUAUCAACAUAGUAAAUAGAAACCACAGCGGCAAUGACAUUGACUCCACCAGUGGUCUGUGGUCACAGCAGACAUGAGUGAACUAUCAACAACAAAACCAAUAGUCUUAAGCAACACUGGUGUAUAGUUGUGACGGACAGUUGAAAUCAACGUUGAGUGCGUCUCUGUAUUUGUAUGGAGCCAUUUCAGAUAGGUAUAGUUGCACACAUUGCAAUUCAAUGAAAUAAAAACAUGUUAACCAUCCUGCAACAAAAAUAUCAAGCUAAAUGAAAUUAAAAGAAGAAAACAACAAAUAGUUAGUCAUUUACUGUGAUUAAUAGACAAUGACUGUUUCUACAUAGGAUAACUCUCUAAAUUCAACAUUCUACCUAACAUGUUUAAUACCUCAAGAUUCAGAUAGUAUUUUAAUACAUUAUACACAUCUUUAAUUUAACAUCACAGUUCAACUCCAACAGUUUGUUGGACUUGCAGUAUGCAUAUCACAAAUUUGUUGCUAUAAAAUCAGUAGAUCUCAAACUUGGCCAAAUGAAACAAUUGUGGCAGUUGAACAAUAUGAGGUUUUAGUUUUGCAAUUAUAAUACACAAUACUUUAUCAAUUUUAAGAAAACAUCACAGAAAAGGAGGUGUCAAUAUACACUUUCUGUGUACUUGAAAAGAUAAAAAAAAAUCAAAUUACAAUAAAAAGGUACUCCAAACUCAACACUAUAAUCCUACUUCAAGUAAGGUGCUCUGAACUUGAUACUAUAAAUUGUAAAUAAUAAAAGCUAUCCAACAUCAAUAGGAAAUGUAACUGGCCGAAACAAUGAAAAAGAAAAUUUUUUAUUGUACUUCUCUUGAGAACUUUCAGUUGUGNNNNNNNNNNNNNNNNNNNNNNNNNNNNNNNNNNNNNNNNNNNNNNNNNNNNNNNNNNNNNNNNNNNNNNNNNNNNNNNNNNNNNNNNNNNNNNNNNNNNCUAAAAACAUGUAGUCAUGUUAUCUAUUCCUAGACUUUGUAGAUGUUACUAUCUUACUACUUGUUCUAUGUAUGUUUUUUUGUAUGACUUAACAUAUUAGAAAGUAUAUACUCUACUUUUAUCAUUGAUAUUUUGUCCAUAAAUUUGCAGCUACAUGUUCAUCUAUAGAUGAAAGAUUAUGUAUUUCUUAGAACAUUACUUUAGAAUUGAGUGCAACGUUUAAAUUGGCAAGUUGAAAUUUUGAUCUAUUAGAUGGUCUAAACUAUUAGAUGCCAAAACCCAAAACCCUAAACCCUAAACCCUAAAGCCUAACUAUUGUGCAUAAAAUUGGAGAAAAUGGCACUUAUUGUCUUGCGUUUCUAGCCAAUAUUCUCAUUUUCUUUAAUUCAACUUCUUUUAACCCUAUUUUUACUUGGUUUCUAUUCCGAUCGCUUGUAAAUCAUUUAAAUUUGUUAAAUAAAAGUAAACCACAUUAGCUACACUAUUUUUUCAAUUAAACAUCACAAACAUCUAAGAUUAUAUUUUGUUAGAUUAUAUAUAAAUAUUUUUUAAAUAAUACAUUUUGCAUACUUAUCAAAUACUAAAAAAUAAGUGAGAAACUCACAAGCGUUUUAAGAAAAUAUUUUCAUACUAAAACUCCCUUCAUCUACUUACAUUAUUUUUUUGAAGAAAAAAAGACCUGAUAUAUUCUUCAAUUUUGUCAUAUAGAGUUGGUGUCUUAUUUUAAAAGUAGCUCACAUAUAUGCCUACCAUUAUAAAAGUGGCUCACAUAUACCUUUGUCAUUUGACGGAAGUGAAAAAAUUAUUUUUUAAUUUUAACAAAAAUCAUGUAGAAAUAUAUAUGAUCCUUGAACAAAGUGCAGAGGUAUAUUUGAUCUUUCACACACAUGAAUUAUUUUUUGACUUCUUUAAAUUUCAUUAUUUGAGUUUGUUAUCUUAUUUUAAUUUUUCUUUCAUUCUUUAGUGUAAAAAUAAGAGAUGUAAAAAGAAAGAAAUGUGACAGAAAAAAAGAGAAAAAAAAGAAGAAAAUAUUAAAACAAUUUUUUUGCAACUAUAUUGUAAUUUAAAACUAUUUUUACGGCCAUAUUAUAAUAUAAUUUUGUAUUCAGUAUAAAAAGUAAAUUGGGGGCCUACAUAAUUAAUUUUAUAAAAAAAUUAGUGAAUAAAUAAAUUUAACCAUCAAAAUAAUCUAUUUGAAUUAGCCGUUGAAGCAAAGAAGUUUAAAAAAAUACGCCUCUACAUGAAUUAUUGAUUUUUAAUUUAAAAAAAAAAUAACUUUUUCACUUUUGUUAUAGAAAAAAAAUUAUAUAUGUGAGUCAUUUGUGUAACAAUAAGGGUAUAUAUGAUAUACUUUCAUGUUAAAAGAUACAUUAGCACUAAAUGACAAAAUUGAGGAGUAUAUCAAAUUUUCCCUACUUUUAAUUUGGUGACCACAACAAUCAAAGAGAAAGAAACAUAUAACCAUAUUUUUCACAUCUUAGCUAUUUAUGAUAUUUUUCUUCGUUUUAAAGGCUCUUGCCAGCAAUGUAGACAAAGAUGGCUAAUAAUUUUUGUCAUGGGCCGCAAUAUAAAAUAUGGUCCACAAGUUUAUAUUUUAUACGUAUAAUGAUAUAAAUGAUAUUAAUAAGUUUAAUUUUUGUAAAAAAGAUUCAUGCUUGAUGUGAAGAAAUUAUUCAUAGCAUGUAAAUUAUCAAAAGUUAGUAAGUUACUACUAUUGGUGAUUUAUUAUAUUAGUGAAUCUUUAUAAAAUUAUGUGUAAUCAAAAAAUUAUAAUAACAUGUAAUCACAGAUAUUUAUUUAUAAAUAAAACAUGGAUAUGUCUGAUUUAUUAAUUAAUUCAACGUCAUGGGAUAUUAUGAUUUUGAGAAAACAAAAUUGAAUCGAAAAUAAAAAUAAACUACAAGUCAAGUUAAAUAAAUAAAAAAUUUGACUAGUGAUUUGAUUUAAUUUGACUUGGUUUGACAUUAAAAAAAAAUCCAUAAUCUAUUUGAAUUAGCCGUUGAAGCAAAGAAGUUUAAAAAAAUACGCCUCUACAUGAAUUAUUGAUUUUUAAUUUAAAAAAAAAAUAACUUUUUCACUUUUGUUAUAGAAAAAAAAUUAUAUAUGUGAGUCAUUUGUGUAACAAUAAGGGUAUAUAUGAGACACUUUUAUAAUAAAAGACAAUCAAUACUAAAUUACAAAUUUGAGGAGUAUAUCAAACUUUUCCCUACUUUUAAUUUGGUGACCACAACAAUCAAAGAGAAAGAAACAUAUAACCAUAUUUUUCACAUCUUAGCUAUUUAUGAUAUUUUUCUUCGUUUUAAAGGCUCUUGCCAGCAAUGUAGACAAAGAUGGCUAAUAAUUUUUGUCAUGGGCCGCAAUAUAAAAUAUGGUCCACAAGUUUAUAUUUUAUACGUAUAAUGAUAUAAAUGAUAUUAAUAAGUUUAAUUUUUGUAAAAAAGAUUCAUGCUUGAUGUGAAGAAAUUAUUCAUAGCAUGUAAAUUAUCAAAAGUUAGUAAGUUACUACUAUUGGUGAUUUAUUAUAUUAGUGAAUCUUUAUAAAAUUAUGUGUAAUCAAAAAAUUAUAAUAACAUGUAAUCACAGAUAUUUAUUUAUAAAUAAAACAUGGAUAUGUCUGAUUUAUUAGUUAAUUCAACGUCAUGGGAUAUUAUGAUUUUGAGAAAACAAAAUUGAAUCGAAAAUAAAAAUAAACUACAAGUCAAGUUAAAUAAAUAAAAAAUUUGACUAGUGAUUUGAUUUAAUUUGACUUGGUUUGACAUUAAAAAAAAUCUGAGUAUACUUGGAUUAGUUUGGUUUAAACUAAAAAAAUUCAACCCCGACAUUGUAAUAUAAUUUUAAAAUUUAUUUUAUACAUAAAAAUAUUUACUUUGAUAUAAUUUAUAAAUAUUUCUUAUACUUUUCAAAGUUUUAUGUUAUAACAUAUUAUUUCAAGUUUGAGACUUAAAAUAUUGAAUAGUCCGAUAAUAAGGGUUAUAGUCCAUUUUUGAAUGGUCCAGUAGAAUUUUGAAUAGUCCAUAAAGGUUGCCUUAUGUGAUUUUGUAUUCAUAUAUUGCCAUUUGUAUUUGCUGCCUUGUGUGUAUUUGUAUUCAUUUGUUGCCAUGUGUGUUUGUAUUUUAUAUUACUAAAAAAGAUUUAUAUAAUUGACAACUAUCAUUUGUAUUACAUUUGUAUUUGUAUCGCUGAUUGUUAACAUUUGCAUCAUUGGCUAUUACUAUUAGUAUUUCUAUUGAGAGAGAAAGAAGGUGGCAAGAGAGAGGGGAGAGGGAAAAUAGAGGGGGGGGGGGGGGAGUUUGAAGGGCUAGGGCGGGCCAACUCUUCAUUUGGAAGAGCCUAAAAAUGCUCAACUCAAUCCAACCCUAGAAGAGUCGAAGGUUGGAGGACUAGCCCUUUUUUUUUUCUUUUCAAACUUAAAAUUCUAUAACAUCAAGAAAAUGAGAAGAUUUUCAAAUCAAAUAUGGUAAACAAUGGUGUUGUUUCAAUAACACUAGCAAAAAAUCUAGUGUAAUUAGCAUGUAUCUAAGUACUAAAUAUAAGAGAUACAUGUAUCUGGUGUGAUGCAUCCCAGAUACGCGAGCGAGAUAAGAGAGUGACAAGCGAGAUGAGAGGGAGACGAGGGCAAGUGAUUCAUCUAUGUAUCCUAGAUACAUGUGAAUCCACUUGGGUAGAGUAUAUCUAGAAUAAAUUAACCUAAUUUUGAGUCCAUGUUACAUGUACGUACUAAAAUCUGGUAAGAUUCAUAAUAUCACAACAUAAUGUGCAUUUAAGUAAUUAGCUCAUAUGCUAGCGAGAUUGUUGUAAGUUACCCUUAAAUAAAUAGUUUAUGCCAAUAGGUCGACCCUAGCCCGGCCUCGAUCAAGUCUCAAGGGGCAAGGGCUUAUAUGGGUUGGACUUAUAAGCCCUAGUUUUAAAUGGUCUUGAAAAAUCUUAUCCCAACCCUACCCUAGCUAAUAACGGGUUGUGGUGGAGUGGUAAAUACCUCUUCAUUCUUAAUCCAGAGGUCUCAAGUUCGAGCCCCUUUGAGUACAGAGUCGCAUUUGUUAGGGAGCACUUUACCUCCCAAUGUCGAACUUUCCACCGCGAAUCCAAAUUUAGUCGGACUUCAAUAUGAAUACCGAACAUCGAAUUGAAAAAAAAAACAAUAGGAUCCCGAACACCGAAUUGGAAAAAAAAAGGUGCAGUAUAAUGCUCUGUGGUACCAUUCUUAAUUUUUAUGGCCAAACAAAUCUGCUAACUUUGAGAAUUUUAAUUCUCAGAACAACCAAAAAUUAAUAUAUCAAAACAAACUGUUCACCGUGUACACACACAUUCAUUACAUUUAUACAAUCCAUCCAACUGCCAAAACAAAAGCUCCAAGUCCUACCAACAGGUUGCGGUGGAAUGAUAAAUAUUCAUUCAUUCUUAAUCAAAAGUCUAGGGUUCGAGUCCCCUUAGUAUAAAAUCACUUUUAUUAGGGAGCAUUUUACUUCGCAAUGUGUCACUUUUUGACGCGAAUCCAAAUUUAAUUGAAUUUAGUAUAAAAAUACCCUCCAUCCAUUUCUUAAGUAAAAAAAUACCCUCACCGUUUUCAUUUCGCCCAAAAAUGUUUUUAAGAACUAAUGAACGACUAAAAAUAAGAGAACUAUGCACUGUGGAGUAGAUCGUUUAGGAUUGGACUUGUAGGACGUAGCAAAUUAGGAUUUGUUGAUGGACGAUUUCCUAAAUCUAUGUUCGAACCAGUGUUACAUGAUCAGUGGGAAAAAUGUAAUGCUGUAGUUUUAUCCUGGAUAAUGAAUGUUGUUCGACCUGGACUUCUAAGUUCAGUUGUCUAUGCAUCUGAUGCUCGAAAAGUGUGGCUGGAUCUGAGAGAAAGGUUCGAUACUGUAAACGGAUCUAGGAUUUUUCAUUUACACAGAGAGAUUCACACUCUCACUCAAGGCACAAUGCCAAUUGCUGACUAUUUCUCCAAACUAAGAGAUCUCUGGGAUGAGUAUGAUGCUCUCAUGCCCUGUCCUUCAUGUCCUUGUCCAGAAUCAAGGAAGUUUGGUGAACAUUGUGAGUAUCAGAGACUUCUUCAGUUCCUUAUGGGUCUGAAUGAAUCCUAUUCACCACCUAGAAGUCAAAUCCUCAUGAUGAGUCCUAUUCCUACCUUGAACAAAGCAUAUGCUCUUCUUAUGGACCAAGAGUGUCAGAGAAGUCUCGUGAAUUCUAAUUCAAUUAACUCAGGACCUGGUGCAAUGAAGGCACAGUCAUGUACAGUAAUAGGAAUUCAAACUCUUACACAGGUUCAAGUAACUUCAAAGGAGGCAGUUCUGGUGGAGGUUUUGGUAAUAUCUCAGGUGCAGGUUUAUCUGGUAGUUACAACAGUAGUGGUGCAAGUUCAUCUAGUAGUUCCAAGAAUAGGAGGCAUUUGUUGCAAUGUGAUCACUGUGGUUGUCGGGGUCAUUCUAAGGAACAAUGCUACAAAAUUGUUGGAGAUCCAACUGAUUUUAAGUCAAAGAGGAAAGGCUAGACUACUGGAGCUUAUGCUAAUCAGGUUGAUACACCUCUUAACAUUGAGUCAAGAGUUUCUUCUUCUGCAGCCCAACCUUCUGGAGGAUUUAUCACGCAGGAUCAGUAUCAACAAAUUCUCCAGCUAUUGUCAAAAAAUGGAGCUGAUAGCACAGUAGAAUCUUCAGCCAAGGUGGCCUCUGUAGAUGCAGGUAUACAUACUUCUGCUCUCUUGUGUUCAUAUGAUGCAGGUGAAUGGGUGGUAGACACUGGAGCUACUCAUCACAUCACCUCAAAUCUUGACACAUUAGACACUAGUACUGUAUCUAUUCCGGAUGCACACAAUAAGGUUUAUUUGCCUAAUGGUAACACUACUGUUGUUUCUCAUAUUGGUAGUACCUGCCUGCUUUCAAAUCAGCCUGUAUCCAAUAUAUUAUAUCUACCUGACUUCAGAGUUAACUUGUUGUCCGUGUCCAAGAUCACUAAGGAGCUUAAUUGCAUGGUAGCAUUUUAUCCUGACUUCUGUGUGUUUCAGGAUCUCUCAAAUGGUCAGGUGAAGGGGAUUGGUAAGGAACAACAUGGACUCUACAUACUAAAAGGUGGACCAACUCAAGCUCCAAAGAAGCUGGUGAAUAGUAGUAGGAGUCUUACUAAGUCAGAUCCUGUACUUGUUCCUUCUAACUCAGUUGAUGUAUGGCACAAGAGGUUAGGACAUGCACCUCUUGACAUAAUAAAAAGAGACAUGAAUGUCUUAGGUCUUUAGGAGGCAAAGAUCCCUCUCAUUGUACAGUGUGUCCUGUUGCUAAGCACACAAAACUUCCAUUUCCGUUAAGCUUUACUAUGUCUAGUUCUGUUUUUGAAUUGUUGCACUAUGAUAUAUGGGGUCCCUACAGAGUUCCUAAUUAUAAUGGCAAAAGGUUCUUUGUUACAGUUGUGGAUGAUUUUAGUCGAUACACUUGGAUUUUUUUGAUAAAUUCCAAAGCUGACACCAUAGUUAUUCUUAAACAAUUCCUUACUCAAGUUAAUAAUGUGUUCUCCACAAGUGUUAAAACUUUGAGAACAGACAAUGGCUCUGAGUUUUUGAGUCACAGCUUUCAGGCUAUCCUAAGUGACCUUGGUAUUGUCCACCAAUCCUCUUGUGUGUAUACUCCUCAACAGAAUGGGGUCGUUGAGAGGAAACACCGGACCAUUCUAAAUAUAGCUAGGGCCCUUCGAUUUCAGGCUGUUAUCCCUCUCAAGUAUUGGGGUGAAUGUGUUUCUACUGCUGUCUAUAUUUUGAACAGACUUCCUUCAAAGUUACUGGGGUUUCAGACUCCAUAUGAGAAACUAUAUAUGUAUCCUCCAUCAUUGUCUCAUCUCAAGGUGUUUGGGUGUUUGUGUUAUGCUGCAUGUCCUAGAGUAUUGGACAAAUUCUCCUCUCGGGCCAUUUCUGCAGUAUUUAUGGGCUACUCUUCAACUCAGAAAGGCUACAUCUUAUUUGAUCUUCAUGCUCAUUCGUUUUCUGUAAGCAGACAUGUGAUCUUCCAUGAACACCUAUUUCCUUUCAAGCAUGCACAAGAAUCCUCUGAUCCUAUAUUUCCAGUUCUGGACAUACUGAUACCCCCUGCUGACACUGUAUGUGUCCCACAAGUUGAUGGUUGUGUCCCACCAACUGAUAGUUCUGUCCAUAGUGAUCCUUGCCCCGUGUCUCCAGUUCAGUCACCACAUGUUGCUCCACCUGUUCUCACCAGAAAAUCUAACAGAACUAGCAAGCAUCCUCUUUGGCUGCAAGAUUUUGUUACUCACCCCACAGGCAAUACCUCUUCCUAUCCUCUUGCUGAUCAGCUUACCUAUUCUCAUCUCUCUCAGUCCUAUCAACAUGUCCUUCAAGCUUACUCAGCUUUGUGUGAGCCUGUGUCUUUUCAACAGGCUUCUGCUGAUCCUGCUUGGGUCAAGGCAAUGCAGUUGGAGAUUGAUGCUUUAGAAAGUAAUCACACCUGGAGUAUUGUGGAUUUACCACCUGGUAAGAAGCCUAUUGGAUGUAGGUGGAUUUACAAAAUCAAAUACUUAUCAUCAGGAGCUGUGGAAAGGUUUAAAGCCAGGCUGGUUGCCCAGGGGUUUAGUCAAAGGGAAGGUCUUGACUAUGGAGAGACUUUCAAUCCUGUUGCUAAGAUGGUGACUGUUAGAUCUACUGUGGCUCUUGCUGCCUCUAGAGGUUGGUAUAUCUAUCAAAUGGAUGUUCAUAAUGCUUUCCUAAAUGGUGACCUUCUUGAGGAGGUCUAUAUGGUUAUUCCUAGUGGGUUUGCUAGACAGGGGGAGACUCACAAGGUCUGCAAACUACAUAAGUCCUUAUAUGGACUUAAGCAGGCACCAAGGCAAUGGAAUAUGAAGCUGACAGAAGCCUUGAUAGAUAUGGGUUUCAAGCAGAGUCAUUAUGACUAUUCAUUAUAUACUAAGCACACAGACAAUGAUAUUGUUGUGGUGUUGGUUUAUGUAGAUGAUCUACUUAUAACUGGAAACAAUCAACAGCUGUUAUGCAACACUAGACUGGAUAUUCAGAAAAAAUUCAAAAUGAAAGACUUGGGUGAGUUAAAGUUCUUUUUGGGCAUUGAGUUCUCAAGGUCCAACAAAGGCAUACUUAUGUCACAAAGAAAGUAUGCUUUAGAAUUGAUAUCUGAGUCUGGCCUAGGGGGAGCAAAACCAGCCUGUACUCCUUUAGAAAUGAAUCAAAAGCUCACAUCAGUUCAAUAUGAUGAGCAUAUUAAUGAAGGAAUAGCUGAAGGAGACAGCAUACUAACUGACACUACAAAAUAUCAGAGACUGGUAGGAAGGCUUUUAUAUCUCACUAUGACAAGACCAAAUAUUUCUUUCUCAUUACAAGUUUUGAGCCAAUUCAUGCAUUGUCCUAAACAGUCACAUAUGAAUGCAGCUCUUAGAAUAGUUAGAUACAUCAAAGAAGCACUUGGAUUAGGCUUGUUAAUGCCUACAGGAGACACUUCUAAACUCACAGCUUAUUGUGACUCUGACUGGGGAGCGUGUAUGAAAACUAGAAGAUCAGUUACAGGCUACUUGGUUAAAUUUGGUGAAGGACUUAUUUCUUGGAAAUCAAAGAAACAGGAGACAGUUUCAAGGAGCUCCGCUGAAGCUGAGUUCAGAAGCAUGGCAGCAUGUACAGCUGAGAUAAUUGAAUUCAUAGAAAGGGGUUAAAGACAAGUCAAUCGAUCAACCUCCUUUUCUUUUGGCUAAAUCAACAGAGUGGUGAGCUAAACAAAAUUUGGGCAUAACGUAAAUCGAAUCAAACCACAAAUAAAAAAAAGAUACGAUUAAUGAUUUGAUUUGACAUCGGAAAAAAACCAAUUAUUCAUAUCUGUUAAUUAUUCUCCUCUUGCAAAGCAAAAAUAUUACUACAACUAUAUAUAUAUCAAUUAAGAAAAUAACAUGAAUGUCAAUUUCAGUUGGUCGUCUAAUUAAGUUGAUAUAUAUAACAUUGGCGGCUCCACGCGAGAUUAAUAGUCAAACCACGUUACAUCAUAGUACUAACUGUUGAUCAGUUCAGGAGAUUGAACAAGCUGUAUGGUGUGAGUUAGUUAGAGUUGUUAGAAAGGUUCUAGAAGCUUCUAUAGUUAGUUAUGAAAGUUGUUACAAUACUACAGCUUAUAAAUAGGUAUUAACCUACAAUGUAAAGGUUAACUUUGAAUGUUACAAAAUAUUGAUUGAGUUCAAUACAAUGCUCUCUUCUCUUCUCUUCUCUUCUGUUCUUCUCUCUGUUAUUCUACAUAUUCUAAACCUCCAUUAAUGGAGUUUUCACUUAUCCUUAAAAAAAUGAUAAUUGACGACAAUGUAUAAAAAAAUAUUAGCCAGCAGAUGUAUAAUAUAACAAUUCAUGCAUAACCAUUGUAUUAUCUAUGUAUACAAGCUAGAAAAAGUAAACAAUGAAUCUUCAGUGCUUUACCAUAUGACAAUAACCAGCAAUGUGCUAUAAAUGGAGUUUUCGUGAUAUGCGUAUUCCUGCAAAAGAUGCUCAAUUGGGUACAAUUCAGCAGAAAACUCACCUUUUUGUGAAGAACUGAAGAUAGGUGCUUUAUUUUUGUUGUAAGCUGAGCCACUGAAAACAAAAAAAAAAAAAAGGCUAACAUUAAUAUACAAUGUAAGAAACUAUAAACAUCAUUGGAGCAGCACUAUGUGGCUUGAACUUCCAUUUGAGUAUCAACUUUAAACAAAAUCAAAUUCAAGCAACUUUCUUACAUAUGUUUCUUUAACAAGUUCAAGAGAUAUAACGUCUAUCAACAGCAAAACUAAGGUAUUAGAAGCUGGACGACAGGAUAUCUACAAAGAACUUUGGGGUCUCUCUACACAUGUUGCCCAAAAAAAGGAAUAGGUUGCAAUAUCUCGCUUAAUCCCACUCGGUCCCCGGAAUUCACCAUUAGGGGCUGUUUGGACUCACAUACUGGUUAUGCUGUAUAAUGCAUGGAUUGUUUAUGUGAUGAAUAAAAGAUGAAAGAAUUAUUAUGCUGUAAUUAAUACUCCCUCCAUCUUCCGAGUAAUCUGCUAGGGGCCAACCCUAACAGACAAUUGCAGGCUUCAAAACUCGGGAAAACAAGUCCACUUCUCUAUCUUUCUCCACUUAAAUAGCAAGCUUAGUUCACAUGGCACAUGGCUCGAAUCUAUGACCAAAGUUAAUUUGUUCUAGAUACAAUCUAUCAAAGUAGAUUCGCAUGUAUCUAGGAUACAUAUACAAAUCUUGCGCCCUCGCCUCCCUCCCAUCUUGCUUGUCACUCUCUUAUCUCACUCGCUUAUCUGGUAUGCGAGAUACAUACUAAUUACACUAAAUUUUUGCUAGUGUUAUUGAAACAACACUAUUGUUUACCAUAUUUGAUUUGAAAAUCUUCUCAUUUUCUUGAUAUUAUAGAAUUACAAGUUUGAAAAGAAAAAAAUAAAAAGAAGGGCUAGCCCGCCCCAGCCCUCGGCCCUUCUAGGGUUGGGUUGGGUUGGGUUGAGCAUUUUCAGGCCCUACCAAAUGAAGGGCCAGCCCGCCCUAGCCCUUCAAAUUCCUUGGCCCGCGAGGCUUGGGCCGGGUGGGACUGGGCCGGCCCUUUUUGACAGCUCUACCAACAAUACUUUUUGAAAAACAUUUUCGAGAAAAAAAAAAAAUCACAAUAAGAUGAUUUUAAAAAUUUGACCAAACAUGCUAAGGGUAUUUUACUAAGCUUAUAAGUUCUCUUCUACCAAACGCUUUUGGUACAUGCUUUAGAGCUCUCGUAUACCAAGUUUUUACCCACUUGCAUAUAAUUAAGUUCACAUUAAUAUGAAGAAAUUAACAAGUAUUGAAUAAAAUUUCUUUAAAAAAAUAAAUCAAAAUGCCAGUCAUCAAUCUUCUAUUCUUUAUCUUCGCUUAUUUCAUUUUCAUUAUUCUCUCAUUCUUUCUUCUCGUUAGUUUCAUAUUCAUUAUCUGAUUCUUCCCCUUCUCCCCCAAUUGAUUCAUUUUCCUCAGCUUAUUCUUUCUCAACAUUUACGAUGAUUGUUACCUAAAUCCUAAUCACCACCAACUUCUUCUAAUAUAUGUCAAUAUACCUUCUUAACAUCUUGUGCAAAUGAUAAAAAAUUAUAUUAUUUCGUGUAUUUAACUUCAAUUACAUUAUAUUGUUAAUUCACCUCGAUAUCCUUAUGUGAUGGAUCUAAUUACUUGCAUCAAAGUAGUACUUUGUUUUUCUCAUUCAUCUAGGGUAUCUAAAUUUCAAAAAUCUCUUAUAUCAUAUCAUAAUUAUUUGUAUAAUAUUAAUUUGGCACUUCAAAUUAUUUUAUUUUUGCUUAGAAAAGAAGAUUCAAAUGCCAAAGCACAAAAUCACGAUAAUUUAUUUAAACAUUUAACACAACCAAAAGGUUACAUAAUCCAAACAUACAUUACAUAGAGAGACAUUUCUAUUGAAAUUUAUCCCUCAAAUUCCUCCUUUAAUUUUGAGGUUGAAAUACUUAAAUGCGCGCAAUCAUAAAUAUUGCAAGUGCUUAUUAUUUAGCAUAGUAAGGUUACUACUACAACCCGAGACCUUGAAUUAAUAAGAAGCUUUGUUUGCUCGGAGUUUCUUCCUAUCAGAGAGCAAUUUUGCAAACCUACAACGGAAUAAACUAUUUUAAUUAGCAAUAAAAUAGAUUUAUAAGAAAUCUAAUAUGAAUAAUAUUGACUAACGAGAUAUAGUAAUAUGAAAAACAAAAAAGGAUUAUUUCAAGCACCGACAGAAUCGAAUGUGACAGAGUUUUACCUCUUUAGAGCUACCUCAUAGGUUUCAUGACUGUCUUCGGAAACAUUUUUCUUCAGUAAGUUUUUACCAACUUGUUCUAAUAAUUUCAUAUUAGCCACAGAAGCAUCAUCCAUUUUAGUAGUUGUGCCUGUUAAUGCAUUUUCCUGGAAUUAAAUAUACUCGUAUCGUUAGCAAAGAAAAUAUGGCAUGCAUAUUAUAAAAUAGUAAUAAUGAAAAAACUACAGAAUUAGAUAUACUUCACUAUCAUAUAUACUUUUAAAAUUUUAUGUAUCUUACCAUUUAUUAAGAGUUUCCUACCAUAUAUUAAGAAAAAUAUACUUAGAUAUAUGCAAUUUUGCUACCAGAUACACAAAAAUAGGGAGAAAAGCAUCAAGCGAGAUUCGUAUGUAUCCCAGAUACAUGCAAAUCGCACUAGAUACAUGUAUCUAUAUGCAUCUGGUGUGAUUCACAUGUAUCGAGGAUAUCAAAUACAUGGGAGAGUGGCAAGCGAGAUUGGAGAGAGCGAGCAAGAUUUGCUAAUGUAUUCUAGACUGGGGUGGCCCUAGAGGUUGACGAGGGGGUUCACGACAAAAAAUUACUUUCGUUGUAUAUUUAAGGUAAUUUUAAGAAUUUUUAGGUUAGCUAUAUAUUGAUUUUGAACCUCCUAAAUGUAAGAUUAGAGGUUGACUCGGUGGUCGAGGGGUUCAAAACUCACCCUUAAGGAUCCAAGAUCAAAUCUUAGGCACUACUCUUUUUUUUUUUCGAACCCCCUUAAUGAAAAAAUCCUGAAUCCGUCACUGAUUCUAAAGAUCCAUGUAAAUCCACUUGGAUAGCAUGUAUCUAGAACUAAUUACACCUAACUUUGACCAUGCAUAUAUCCUAGAUACAUCAAAAUCUGGUAAAAUAGGUAAUACUGCAAACUAGAUUAGUGAGAUUUAUGUAAGUUCCCGAUAAUAAUAAUUAAGUGUGGACUUACUUGAACCCUGAGGUAAUUGUUUUUUGAAUCAAGAGCUUGAAAAACAGUAGAAAGGUAAUAAUCAUUCAUGUAAGAACUUGCUGCAUUUCCCAUUUCCCGUAAAGGUAAUAUCCAUUGUACAAUAGCCCAUUUAGCUGCCUCUUCUGCUGUAUAGUUUUUAGCAAACUCUGAAGUAGUGCCAGUGCCUAAUGAGAGCAACAACUAUUUUUUGUAAUUCAAUGACUUAAUUGAAGCAAAUGCUGGAUCCUCAUUUUCUGCAUGUUUCAUUGCAACGCUAACUGAUAAUAACGCCUGCAUGCAUGCACGUACAACACAUAAUAGUAUUGAUCAGAUAUUUCGAAAAAACAUAUAAAAUUGAAUCGAAAGUAGUAGUAGUAGUAGUAGUACCGGAUCACCAGCAGCAACACCACCAUCAACAAGAUUGAACUCAUAUUUAUCGCCAUUACUAGUAUUAGUAACAAAAUAAUGUGGAGGAAAAUACAUGGGAACUGCUGCUGUGGAAUAACAUAUGUCAUACAUCUUAGCAUCCAAUUCUGGAGACUUUGCUAACUGCAUUUUAAAAAUAAAAAAUUAGUCGAAAGUAUAUAUUUUACAUAUUGACACUUCUUGGCUUCUAUACGAUUUUAUUUCUUGAUAUUUUGACACACCUAAUUAAUCGAUAUUUUGGCUACGUCACUGAAUCACUGUCACCGUUAAAACUCCUAAACACGUCUGAUCUCAACAUCAAAAUGUUUUGUUACCGUUCCCAUAAUCAAGAUAAAUUAUAUAUAAUAUCUUGUGCUAUAAGAUGGCAUGUCCAAUUGCCAUCCUAGAUUGUGAACAAAAAAUUUAUACUUAUAAGAACCGAUGAUUUAAUUCUCUGUGUAUAUAUAAGCUAAAACUCUAUACACUAAAUCAUCUACUAUAUACGAAUAUAUGAUCGAUCUAUUAAAUCUGAAUAAAUAAUUAUUCUAUAAUAAAUAUUAUAUCUGAAUGCAUGAUUAUUACUUAUUAGUAUAUAUAUAUCCCAACAAUCUAUUAAGAAAUUCACUUGUUUUCGAAAACAUUUUUCUUGGUACAAAUCACUAUAAUUAUUUUGACUUACCUGUGACUUAGUGAAUAUUACUGGCUUAUUUGUUUUGAUGUCAAAGGUUGAGAUGGCAACUUCUGUCAAAGCUUGAUGCAAACGAGUUUCUCCUAAUUUUUCUUGAAGAACUUGCAUAAAAUAUUUUCCAUCAUUUAUUGGGCCAAAAAUUUGAGGAUCACUGCAUAAUAUAAUGUAACCAAAUUAAAUAUAAGUAUAAACAACAGAAAUCUCAUGUAUUUGGGUUAAUUAUAUCCUAUCUCCGAAGUUUACUCACUUACAUACAAAAAUACUGAAUAUUUCAUCGCUCUCGGAUAUAUUUCUUGGUUGUCCGAUACAUUGCAAAUGAUGCAUUACUUAAUGGGAGGGAUGUAUCUGAGAGGGGAUAGAGAUGUAUCUGAGAAGAGAUUUUUUGUAAUUUUUUUAAUGGUAGGAAAUUUUAGAGAAUAUAAUAUAUCAAGUCGUGUAUAUAUGUAAUAUUUCCUAAAUAUAAUUCAUUACUCAAAACAUAUUCUCCUUCUUUCUUUCGAGUUGUUUGGCCUAUUUUUUUUUAGUCCAUCUAAGAACAAUGUACUCCAUCUGUUCAUUUUAUGUGGCACUUUUCGGAUUUCGAGAUUCAAACAAGUUUAUAUUUGAUCGUAAAUUUUUUAUAGAUUUUUUAAACAUUUUGAAUUAUCAAUUAUUGUGACUUGUAGUACUUUUUACGUAAUUUACAAGUAUAUAAAUUUCAUUUCAAAAAAAUUACAGAUUUCAUGCGCAAAUUUUAGGUCAAACUUAACAUGUUUGACUCUCGAAAAAUGAAAAGUGCCACAUAAAUUGGAACAAAGAGAGUAAGUAAUUGUUUUUACUUUAUAGUGACUCUUUGAUGUCAACUUUCAACUAGACAUGUUUAAGACCAUAAUAUUAAAUAUUGAUACGUUUGACAUAUCUUCAAUUUAAUAUCUGAAGACUCAAAAAAAAAAAAUUCACGUUCUUAAACUCCGUAUCAAAUUAAAAUUAGACAAAUAAAUUAAAACAGAGGAAUAUAAAUAUGUAUAUUUACCUAGAAUUAAAAAUAUGAGGGCCAUAUUUGAAGUAAAAAGGUACAAUAUCUUUGGCAGCAGCAAAGGGUCGAUUGUUUCAUUUGGAGUAGUUAUCAUAGCAGUCAAUAAACCUCCUGUACUUGUUCCUCCAAUUACAUCAAAGUAAUCUGCAAGUCUUGCAUCUUUAUUAUUGUCCACAUCCUGACUCGAAAGAAAAGUAAAUCGUAUAAAUUGAAGCAAAAUGAAUAAAAAAACAACUCAUUUAUUAAUCAGAUACAUUUAUAUAUUGAAAAAUAUAUAUAUGUUAAUUGUUCAUCUUAAGUCAUCACCAAAUAGUUGUGAGUCAUAGUAUGGUGGGGUUAAGUGGCGUAUGCAGAAUUUUUAGAAAACGUUGUCGAUAUUUAUAGAAGGAAAAAUAGAAUCUUAAUUAUCAUACAUAUAAGAAGGUUAUAUCCUUGGCUCAUUCGUUUAGACUAGUUUUUAAGAUAGAAAAGGUCUUGAGUUCAAUUCUACUACAAAAUCAACAAGAGAACCAACACGUUAGGGGCAGAGCUACACCUUAGCGAGAGUGGUCAGAUCAUGAACAACCUUCGUUGGAAAAAAUUUGCGAGUACAUAUGUUAAAUAUCAAUAUUUUUUGGAUAUAUACUAAUUGUUGAACAUUCUUAGCAUAGCAGAGAAAGAUAACCCAGUGGUUAAAGCUGUUCAAAUUCGCCUUGGGGGCCUGGGUUUGAGCCUAGACUUUGACAUUUUAUUUUAAAAAAUUAGUUCCGUUUUUUCUCUUAAAAAAGAGAACAAAAGCCAUAGUUCUGUUUUGAUGAUCUGCCCAUCAAGAUUUAUUUUUUUUACUUGUCCUGAACUAUGAACAUUCUAGACGAAAAUCUUGGCUCCGCCGCUGCAACAUGCCAAUAGGUCAUUACUGUCAAUUAGUAGUGUCAUUUAAUUUUGUUAAAUAUAUAUAUCUUUUUGCAUAGUAUUAAUACAUAUAUUUAGUAAAAUAUUUCGAGGAAAGGGUGACGCUUGACACCCAUUCACUCAACGUAGGUCCGCUCCUAACCAUGUCUACUAAUUCAAAAAGAUAGUCUAACAAUUACUAAUAUUAAUAAACAUCGAAAUAAUACAAUUCAAGGGUAAAAAAGAAAAAUGAUAGAAAUGUCACACUUACGUAUAUACAUAAAAAAAACAUUUUUACGAUACCUGAAGUUGUCCUUCAAGAAAAUCAAGAAUGGUACCCGGAAUGACUAUAGUAGUAGUGUCACACUUACGUACAUACAUUAAAAAAAAAUUUUACAAUACCUGAAGUUGUCCUUCAAGAAAUUCGAGAAUGGUACCCGGAAUGAUUCCCUUAAUUCCACCUCCAUCAAUACUAAGAACAGUCACCAUUUCUCCCAACGUAGCAAAUGUUGAACUAGUAGUUGCUAAUAUCAUAAAAAAUAAAAUUAAAAAAGUUUUACUAGUUGCCAUUUUGCAGAUUAUAAUAAAUAAAAACUAAUAUCUCAAAGUGUUUUUGAUUUUUUUUUUGGGUGCUUUGAACAUAUAACAAGCAUGGUAUAUAUAGUCACGUAAACAAGUUGAGAAAUUUUAUUUUGAGUUUGACAUAACCAAUAAAGUUGUAUGAGAAUCCGUUCAAAUUUUGACACGUGGAUAGUGGGCCCAGUUGAAGGAAAGUGAAUUUAUAGUUGGUGUGGGCCCGGCUAACACAAUAAGGAGUCAUUUGAUAGAGUGUAUCAGAAAAAAUAAUAUAUGCAUCAACUUUGUGUAAUAUUAUUAGAAAUAAUAAUGCAUGCAUUACUAAUACCAUGAAUUUCGAUGUAUUAGGAAUGCUUAGAUUGAUUCCUGAUAUAACUAUCCCUCAAAUCUUUCUCAAAAUAUUUUCCAUUUUUCAAAGCUAAAGAGUGUAGAAGGUAUUUUUGUAAAUAAUUUUUUUUUUUUUUUUUUUAUAGAAGUUAUGUAAGAUUUGUUAUUUCUAAUACAUCAUAUCCAACAAUGUACAAGAAAUAAUGCAGCAUAAUUAAUCCAUCAUUAUUAAUACAAACAUUACUAAUACAUUUUAUUCAAUAUUAUUCUUAUGCGCACUUAAGGGGUCGUUUGGUAGAGUGCAUUAGAAAAAGAAACAAUGCAUGCAUUUAGCUUUAUGUAUUAUUAGUACCAUGUUUGGUACAAUUUUUAACCUGUGUAAAACUAAUGCUUAUAAAUAAUACAUGAAAAUUCAUAGCAUUAAUAAUUUAAAGGAUUUUAAUGCAUGCAUUAGCACGUUUAAAGACAUAAUUGCUCAUCAAAACCUUUUACAUAUAUCGAUCCUUUCCAUCAUAUUUAUGAAGGGUAUUUUGUAAAUAAAUUUUUAAACACAUGUUAUAUCUAAUAUACCAGAUCAUAUUCAUUGAAUUGUUGGGUCUGACACUCCCCUUAUAAAAAAUAUUUAAGGACAUAAAUAAAAAUGUUAAUUUUCUCCUAUCCCCCUUUUGAUUAUUCCAAAAUUAUUGUCCUAAAAAAUGUAAAAUAUAGUUAUGAACCUCACUAGAUCAUGAAGAAUAAAUAUAAAAAGGUCCCAGUAAUUAUUCUAAACUUUGAACAAUUUACUUUUUUUGGACAAUUAAUUUUUUUUUCAAUAAUCCACUUGAUACGGACAAAAGAGAGCAUCAAUUAGGAUUUAGGAGUCCAAUUUUAUAAGGAAGUACGUAGUGGAAAAAUAGAGUUUAUAUUAAAUGAAAUUCUAUUAGGACUUUGUCCAGUGGGCACAAAGUGUUCACCACAGAAUGCUCACACGUGUAGGGCAGAAGUUGUGGCAGAGAUUAUAGCGGCUGUGAAUUAUCCCGAGGUUCCAAACAAGAAAAUCAUUUUUUUUUUACUUCUCUUAUUCUCUAUUUUGUUUCACUAUUUCCAUGUUUAUUUCUAAACUAUAUAUGGUGUUGAAAUAUAUAUUAUUACAUGAGUUCUCUUUCUUUGCAUAAUAGAUACAUACAUGGAAAGCAUUGAGAGAGCAAAAGCAAGCUCAUCAAAGGAUGUGUUGUAAUGGAUGAGACGCUUCUUUUUUAAUUAGAGGCUUCAGAUUCGAGCUCUGAAUAUGAAACAAUCAUUUAUAAGAAGCACUAUCCCCCAGAGGGGUCCUACCCAAUGUGAAUUUAGAUUAAUCAAACUUUAAAGUGGAUAUCAAAUCUCGAGUGGAAAAAAAAAAAAAAAAGCAAUUCCUGUUUGAGCCAACUCCUUUGUAUUUUGUACAGUCUUCCCUUUGUUUGUAUCUACAUAAAUAGAGGCAGACACGUCAGAAACUCCUUUUAUUAGGCUUAAAAAAACCAUCUUCAUAUACCAAAUGUGGUAACAUAUACUCCCUCCGUUUCAAAAGAAUGACCUCCUUUUCUUUUUAGUCUGUUUCAAAAAGAAUGAUCUUUUUAUUUGUUUGGUAAUAUUUUAGUUUCAGCUUUUCACGUGUCAUGUUUAAAUUAAAGCCACAAGAUUAAUGGAUAAUUUUGUACAUUUGACAUAACUUUAAAUUUAUAACCACAAGAUUCAUAAGUCUUCUUUAUUUUCUUAAUUCCGUACCAAGUCAAACUAGGUCACUCUUUUUUAAACGAAGGAAGUAAUAUGUAACCCACGCAACCCCUAGAUAAUAUUAGCAUAAGCAAAGCUCUGCCACUUACUUGUAUUGAUGCAUAUUAAGUUAUAAUAUAUUUUCCUUAUUACCAAAAAAAAAAAAAAAAAAAAGAGUACAAUCCAAAGAACCCAGUCUUAUAAUUGAUGUUUCUUUUUUUUUUCUUUGGUUUGUCUAAAAUCUGUUGGAGCAUGACAUUUUAAUGGUAAAAAAAUUUAUUUAUUAGGUAUAAAUUGAUAAGAAAAUGGUAAAUUGUAUUUUAUGUAAUUUAUAUAUUAAUUAAUCCACUAUACGUCACACCUGCUAUUAAUUAUCUUGAUAUUUAUUACUCAAUUUUUACUUGUCAUAAUUUGACUUGAUAUAUUCAUUAAAAAUAUAAUUAUUGAUAGAAGUUGAGAAGGUAUAAGUUGUAUUCGUUUCGUGUGCUUAAUUUUUUAUAUUGGGUGAUAUUUGGAAAGGUAUAAGUUGAGAAUGGUUGGGUGGAUUUUCAAUAAACUCCUAACAAUAUUAUAAGUAACGUAUUUCCUUCGAAACAAAUUAAAUUUAAACAAUUUAAAAUACAAAUUAAUUCUCUUUUUCUCUUUUUACUCAUUACAAAACACAAUAAUAUUCUUGUGAGAAGUUUAAAAUAAUUGCUAAAAUUUGAAUUUUAUAAAUCUUUUAAAUCCCUAGGAAUAUUCUGUCAUCAUUUAUUUGACAACUAAUAGAGAGACCCAAUAUAGUGUUCACUUAAUACACAUAUUUAACACAGUUUCUAACUAUUCACCCAACCCAACAACCAAAAUUAAAGCUCUGACACUUGUAAAAUUGACAUUCAUUGUAAUGACCCGGAAUGUUAUUUUUGGAAUUUUUUGAAAAAAUUAUCGUUUUAACCCUCUCGAUAGUUAUCCCGAGUCAUUUAUGAUCAAUCAUUGAAGUUGGUUUGAGAAUUUUGAACUAUUAAACAACUAUGGUUAUUCAAUUAGCGAAAAAUUUGUUUAUAAUUAAUUUUAUUAAGUGGUUAAUGGGUCAAGUCCAUAACCCUAUACCACUUGACCCAUGUACUAAUUAAAUUAAAAGGGGUUUAUUAAAUUU